RNAcentral lists this ribosomal RNA (320 nucleotides) under uncultured Lactobacillus sp. RNAcentral's name for it is "bacterial SSU rRNA". It matches the Rfam family "Bacterial small subunit ribosomal RNA", at positions 372 to 688 of the family's 1533-position model. The record is from RNAcentral. Lineage: Bacteria; Bacillati; Bacillota; Bacilli; Lactobacillales; Lactobacillaceae.
UGGGCAAUCCGAUGGAGCACGCCGCGUGAGUGAAGAAGGUUUUCGGAUCGUAAAGCUCUGUUGUUGGUGAAGAAGGAUAGAGGUAGUAACUGGCCUUUAUUUGACGGUAAUCAACCAGAAAGUCACGGCUAACUACGUGCCAGCAGCCGCGGUAAUACGUAGGUGGCAAGCGUUGUCCGGAUUUAUUGGGCGUAAAGCGAGCGCAGGCGGAAAAAUAAGUCUAAUGUGAAAGCCCUCGGCUUAACCGAGGAACUGCAUCGGAAACUGUUUUUCUUGAGUGCAGAAGAGGAGAGUGGAACUCCAUGUGUAGCGGUGAAAUA